UGCCGGUAAAGUGGCCGAGGUCGUCAUCACACCCGUACGGGGGAAAGCCGGUGCAAUUCCGGCGCUGGCCCGCAACCGUGAGCCGCCGCAGGGCGGUGAGCCGGACUGCCUCGCACGGGAUGUUGAC
RNAcentral lists this non-coding RNA (127 nucleotides) under Streptomyces cellostaticus. The record is from RNAcentral. Lineage: Bacteria; Bacillati; Actinomycetota; Actinomycetes; Kitasatosporales; Streptomycetaceae.